GAUUUCGCAAUGCCGCCAUGAGUGUCGCCUGUUCGCGUCGAAGGAUCGAUCUGUUUUCGAUCAUAUAUCAGUUUCGGUAUAGCAAUCAUCAAAGAUCGCAUUUGACAGUUAUGUCAAAGGGACACACCCUUCGCGCGUCCUGGGGCGUGCCAGUCGAUGACGAGGAAAAUCGUAUCGAUUGAAAUCUGCGUCCCGGGGCCGAUUGGGAGGAUACCGGAGAUCGAUAGACGACAGCAGCGCGCUUGCGCUUCUGCUCGACUGCGCGGCCCGCGAAGCCCCGAGGUGUCGCGUCCAUCAACCAGGGAGAGUUAC
RNAcentral lists this non-coding RNA (312 nucleotides) under Mesorhizobium amorphae CCNWGS0123. RNAcentral's name for it is "Mesorhizobail RNA 7". It matches the Rfam family "Mesorhizobail RNA 7". Rfam says of the family: Existence predicted via genome wide comparisons with 4 related strains. Analysed further by deep sequencing and Northern blot under various stress conditions. Expressed only under rare growth conditions: symbiosis, micro-oxygen stress, and alkali stress. Lineage: Bacteria; Pseudomonadati; Pseudomonadota; Alphaproteobacteria; Hyphomicrobiales; Phyllobacteriaceae. The record is from Rfam by way of RNAcentral.